UACGGAGGGGGCGAGCGUUAUUCGGAAUUAUUGGGCGUAAAGGGCGCGUAGGCGGCCUUGUAAGUCAAAGGUGAAAUCCCUCGGCUCAACUGAGGAACUGCCUUUGAAACUGCAAGGCUUGAGGCCGGGAGGGGGUAGCGGAAUUCCCAAUGUAGCGGUGAAAUGCGUAGAUAUUGGGAGGAACACCAGUGGCGAAGGCGGCUACCUGGACCGGUUCUGACGCUGAGGCGCGAAGGCCAGGGGAGCAAACGGG
RNAcentral lists this ribosomal RNA (253 nucleotides) under uncultured bacterium. Its description in RNAcentral is "partial 16S ribosomal RNA". It matches the Rfam family "Bacterial small subunit ribosomal RNA", at positions 524 to 776 of the family's 1533-position model. The record is from RNAcentral.